This 497-nucleotide ribosomal RNA is filed under the name uncultured bacterium. RNAcentral's name for it is "partial 16S ribosomal RNA". It matches the Rfam family "Bacterial small subunit ribosomal RNA", at positions 28 to 507 of the family's 1533-position model. The record is from RNAcentral.
GAUGAACGCUGGCGGCGUGCCUAAUACAUGCAAGUCGAGCGAACGGACGAGAAGCUUGCUUCUCUGAUGUUAGCGGCGGACGGGUGAGUAACACGUGGAUAACCUACCUAUAAGACUGGGAUAACUUCGGGAAACCGUAGCUAAUACCGGAUAAUAUUUUGAAACGCAUGGUUCAAAAGUGAAAGACGGUCUUGCUGUCACUUAUAGAUGGAUCCGCGCUGCAUUAGCUAGUUGGUAAGGUAACGGCUUACCAAGGCAACGAUGCAUAGCCGACCUGAGAGGGUGAUCGGCCACACUGGAACUGAGACCCGGUCCAGACUCCUACGGGAGGCAGCAGUAGGGAAUCUUCCGCAAUGGGCGAAAGCCUGACGGAGCACCGCCGCGUGAGUGAUGAAGGUCUUCGGAUCGUAAAACUCUUUUAUUAGGGAAGAACAUAUGUGUAAGUAACUGUGCACAUCUUGACGGUACCUAAUCAGAAAGCCACGGCUAACUACGUG